CAUCCUCGGACCGCCAGANAGAUCUGGUUUCCACUUCGGUGCGCCGAGUGACAGGUGGCUGCAUGGCNGUCGUCAGCUCGUNUCGUGANAUGUUCGGUUAAGUCNGGCAACGAGCGCAACCCACAUCCUUAGUUGCCAGCAGUUCGGCUGGGCACUCUAGGGAAACUGCCCGUGAUAANCGGGAGGAAGGUGUGGAUGACGUCAAGUCCUCAUGGCCCUUACGGGUUGGGCUACACACGUGCUACAAUGGCAUNUACAGUGAGUUAAUCUCCAAAAGAUGUCUCAGUUCGGAUUGGGGUCUGCAACUCGACCCCAUGAAGUCGGAAUCGCUAGUAAUCGCGUAACAGCAUGACGCGGUGAAUACGUUGCCCGGGCCUUGUACACACCGCCCGUCACACCA
This 400-nucleotide ribosomal RNA is filed under the name uncultured bacterium. RNAcentral describes it as "bacterial SSU rRNA". It matches the Rfam family "Bacterial small subunit ribosomal RNA", at positions 985 to 1404 of the family's 1533-position model. The record is from RNAcentral.